This 483-nucleotide ribosomal RNA is filed under the name Triticum aestivum (bread wheat). RNAcentral's name for it is "partial small subunit ribosomal RNA". Lineage: Eukaryota; Viridiplantae; Streptophyta; Magnoliopsida; Poales; Poaceae. The record is from RNAcentral.
AUGUCAACUAUUUCAUGCCCUCUUUUUUCCACACUAUCUAUUGCAUCUGUCUCUCAUACAAUGUCUGUACAUUCAAUUAUGUUUCCUGUUUAUCAGCCAUUUGAAAUGGAGCGGGUGAUGCCAGUAUCUAGCGGACUAAAAACACGGUCUUCAAAUAAAACAGUGCUACCUAUUGGUGGAGAUAGCACCCUAGUUGUACAUGUACAAGAACCAGCGCUACCACACAUAACUCAAACUCUCGCAGAUUGUACCCCUACUACGAUGGACAGAGAACCAGCUUCACCCAAUCUAACCCCAACCCCAGCCGAUAGUAACCUAGUUCUUGUUGACACAGCACCAUCUCCACCACAGAGCUCCCAAACAAGAGCAGUUAGUAAGGCAGCUCCAGUGCCCAAAGGGCCAGUACUAUCACGGCGAACCCCAACUCCACCAGUUAGUACGCCUAUUCCUGUGAGGAAGCACAACCAGCUAGUCGUAGUUUAG